UUUGUGCCGCAGAUUUCAGCUGAGCUGCAGAACGAGCUUUUGCUGAGUUUGCUGGACACAGACAGUGAUGUGGUGCAUUAUCUGCUGAGGAGGAAAACACCACAGUGUGAAGAUGUGAAGAGCUCCAGUGGAGAAAUCUCUCCGUAUGACAACAACUCUCCGGUGCUCUCUGAGUGGUUUCCUCCAUCAGGACUGGAGCAUCAGAGUCCCACACACCUCCAGCACGCUCUCGAGAGCAACAACACUGUCAACUUCUGCCUCUCACCCUCACAAGCCAGCGCCGGGGAAACCAUACAUGAUAAGGCGUGUAUCUGGAGAACACGACACGCUCUUCUGUCAGGUCUUCAUGACAAACUCCUCACAGGUUCGGAUGGACACCUGUAUAAACGCGCCUCUUCUGAUGUUUUCUAUGAUGACGAUAACGACAUGGAACCUGUGCAUGAGACGCAAAUGUCCCAUAUGAACGUCUUUGCUGAAGGUAAAGCGCACCUUCAGGUCACAAGUGCAGAUGGCAGUCCUCUGUGCUCCCCACGCCAUCAAUUGCAUCCUAUUGCAUCAAGCUGCUGGACUGCAUUUCACCAGUCAGAGGAGGCGAUGGCACUUCCUGCCAAACCAGAUGACAGACUUCCUGCUGUGUCCUUGCAGCCGCAUGUCACUUCCUGUCAGGGUGCGGCGUCACACAUGCCACCCAAGAGCUUCGGAGUGGAGCAGCAUCCAGACUGGCCCACAGAGAAGUGGCAAAUAUGGCAACUCCUGUCAUCAGAAAGCAUAGACACACUUCCAGAGACUAUGGUGUGAAACAUGCAGCUUAAAGGGACAGUUCACCCAAAAAUUAACUUAGUGUCAUCAAAAGAAGAUAUUCGAAGGACACCAUUGGCUUUCAAUGAAUGAGGCAUUUCUCCAGAUAUUUUCUUUUAUUAAAGGCAUACAGGUUUGGAAUGAGUGAAGGAUGACAGAACGAUCAUUUUUGGGUGAACUGUCCCUUUAAGAGAGUCAAUUUGAAUUGAAUUGGAUGCAACACACAGAAUGUUUAAUUAGGAUUUGAAUUGGAAAGAGAGAAAGCACCGCAAAAUGUUAGCGUAUUGCUUACAUAUCAUUUUAAUACAAAUAAUUAUUGAUAUAAAAAUUUAGGAAGAAUAUUGUAAUGUUUUACAUUUAAGUUUGGGGUCGUCAUGAUUUUUUAUUUAUUUUUUUUCACAAAAGAUAAUAAUUUUAUUGAUCUAGGAUGCAUUCAAUUGAUCAAAAGUACCAGUACAGACAUUUAUAAUGUUACAAAAGAUCUCUGUUUCAAAUAAAUGCUGCUCUUUUGAACUUUCAAUUCAUCUGUGAAUCCUAAAAAAAAUGUAACACAGUUUCUACAAGAAUAUAAAAUAUUUUCAGCAUCAUAAUCAGAAAUGUUUCUUGAGCAGUCAAUCAUCAUAUUUUCAUGAUUUCUGAAGAUCAUGUGACCCUGAAGACUGGAGGAAUGAUGCUGAAAAUACAGCUGCGCAUCACAGAAAUAAAUUACAUUUUAACAAAUUUUCACACAGAAAACAUCUGUUAUAAAUGUUAAUAUCUCACAUUUUUACUGUAUUUCUGAUAAAAUACUUGCAUCCUUGGUGACUUCUUUCUAAAACCAUGUGUUGGAUGUAGUAACACGGCAUUGGUAAUUAUACCCGAAAAAUUACUCUUUUAGCAGUUAUAUUAAUUUAUUUGAAUAGAAUUUUAACUCUAAUUCUAUAGAAUGCAAAUUGAAUUGUAAUUCUGCAUUCUGUGUGUCGUGGCCAGUUCACUUCAAAGGACCGAAAAUAAGCUUACAUUCUGAAUUCACUUCAGCCUCAGUUGAAGCACAAUUGAAUUUAUCAAUAGAAUAUAUUUACUUUUAGUAGUUUGGUCAUUUCCAUAGAAUCUCAAUCAUUUUUUUUUUUUUUUUUUUGUAGGUGAUUUUAAACACUGCAAACAUUUGCGCUUUGGAGAUUUAAAGAUUGAUUUAGCUUUAUCUGUUAAUAAUGCCUGAUAUUUCCAGCUUUGUCCUUCCUCUAGUCAUCGGUUGAUUUCAUCACUGAUGAUGUUUUAGGAAGUAUUUGGCUUCUUGUCGUCACUUCAUCAUCACUUCAUACGGUAACGAGCAUUUCAGAUUAAUUACAGUGCUGCAAACAACCAGAAUGUCAUAUUUACGAAACCCAGUGUGUUUAUUUAUUAAUGUUAUUUAUUAAAUUAGCCACUAGUAUGUUACCACUGUGUAUAAUCACCACAGAAUAAUGUUAGUUUGUUGUCUCAGUAUUGCUUUAUCUGAAUAAAAUCAAUAAUAUUUUUAUCUCCACCAUAUUCAGAUUUUAAAGUCAGAAUGACUCUUAAUUCACGUUCCUGGUUCUAUUACCUGUGAUUCAGAGGUGCACAUUAUUCUGAAGAAACGUGUUUAUCUUUAUAUCUUUUUUUAAUGUAAUAAUUUGCUCUGCCUUUUGAAACAAUUUUAUUUUUUGACUGAUGUUGCUGUAAAUUUCCUCACCCUCAGGUCAUCCAAGAUGUAGAUGAGUUUGUUUCUUCAUCAGAUUUGGAGAAAUGUAGCAUUGCAUCAGUGUCUCAUCAAUGGAUGCUCUGCAGUGAAUGGGUGCCGUCAGAAUGAGAGUCUGAUAAAAACAUCACAAUAAUCCACAGCACUCCAGUCCAUCAGUGAACAUCUGGAUCAGACAAAAACUGAAACCAAUCCAGCAUUGAGACGAUUUUAUCAGCUGUUUGGACUCUCAUUCUGACGGCACCCAUUCACUGCAGAGCAUCCAUUGGUGAGACACUGAUGCAAUGCUACUUUUCUCCAAAUCUGAUGAAGAAACAAACUCAUCUUAAUCUUGGAUGGUGUGAAGGUGGACAUGUUUUCAGCUAAAUAUCACUUUUAGGUGAACUAUUCCUUUAAAUUACAACCACAUGAAGAACAAAGCAAUCACGUCCUGUAUAUGAGUUUAUACACUUAUAAGUGAGUUUUAGUACUUCAUUAUUUUCCCUGUCAGUGUUCUGUUUGAUAUUUCUGAUAUUUGUACAGUCAAGAGCAAUCAUUUUAUAAAACAAAUAUAUAUUUUGAUAAUCAAUUACUUUUAUCCAAAUAGUAGGAGAAAGACCAGAAUACAGAGUAUUUUAAUGACGUUUGUUGUGUAUCAAAAGUCUCUAUGUUUUCAUCAUGCAGUUCAUACACAAUAGAAUGUGAUGAAACUGUUUCAAGAGCCUUAGGUUGGGUUUUUGGGUUGUGCUUUGUUUGUUUGUUUGUUUGUUUGUUUGUUUGUUUUGCCUGUAGUCAAACACAUCUGUGUUCACAAAAACAAUAAAAUGAAUGUCUCUCAAAGUUCAUCUGUGCAACAUGAAGAUUUAUUUUUAUUAAGAUCACAGCAUUGUUUUACUGACAUUGAGGUACUAUUAUAGUUUUUGUUAAUAUUUAGAAUUUUUUUUAUUUAUUUUGUGUUAUUUUUACUUUUUAAAACACUUUUACUUUUAUUUUACUACAAGUUAAUUCAGUUAAACUUUUAUUUAAUUUCAGGUAAUUUUAUUUUAAGUAAAUGAUUUUUUAUUUUAUUUUAUAUAUGUAUGGUUUUUGUUUUAUUUAUAAUAACCCAGUAGUAAUUUCCGUUCAGAAUGGGGUCAUUGUACUUUAUAUGUACUAUAAAUAGAUUGAUGUUUACUGUAAAGAUUGUGUGUGUUCAUGCUUGUCGGUUUCCUUGGGCUUUGUAUUUAGUCCAUUGUUUUGAUUUCCCAGGAGCAGCAUGAAACCACAUUCACAUCCCCUCCAAACAGGAAGUGACAAACAGUCGAGUGAACUGAUGAAGUGAAGUGCACCGAGAGGCUUUUGGCCGAUCUUUGCUCUGUUCUGGGACUUUUGCUUUUGCCACAUUUCAGUUUGUUGAUGGAGUGACCUGUUCAAAUCACACACAUAAAAUAUUAUUUAUAAAAGUUUACUUUUAUAACUUUAUUUACUUUAAAAUGAUAUCGUAAAAGUACUUUAUAAACAUAGUCAAUUUUUUUUAUUUAUUACAUUUGUAUUUAUUAUUAUUAUUAAUAAAUUAAAAUGAAUAAAAUAAUUAUAAAUUCCACAAAUAUUUAUGGAUGGAAACAUUUAUGAUCAUUUUUUUAUUAAAUUUUAUUUAGUUAUUUUUGCAUGCAUGAAAAACAUUGAAGUAGCUUGAAAAUUCUCCCUGCGCUGCACUUUUGGUAAGAGAUGAUUAUAUAGUAGUUUUGUUUUAUUUAUUUAUAUACAAUAUUUUAUGAUGCAUCCCUUGUUUCAUACAUUUACACUAUUUCUUGUAUUUUACAGGUCUUUAUGAAGUAUGUAUACAGAUGAUUGAUUACAGACAUUUAUUAUAUUCUAUAAGGUCAGUUCAUUUUUGUUAUUUGUUUUCCCGUACAAAUAUUUUUUUUAAUUAGUAUGCAUAUAAUCGAGAAACAAAACAAAAUAAAAAAACUGAAGUCUGAAACGUAUCAAAAAGAAAAUAUAUAUCCAUGAAUAUGAUUUUUUCUGCCCCUAUUAGCAGAUAUUUUCUCUUGUUUUAAGCAAAAAGUUAGUUAUAUAUGUAUACAUGACAGUGCACAUAUAUUUAGCAGGACAGCUGUUUGAGUAGUUACUAAAUGAGCCUCUAGAGGGAGACACAAGAGUUCAGUUCAAUCACUGACAUUAACAAACACAUUCAGCAUUUAAAACACUAGAGUAAAGCAUCAUAUUAGAACAAGAAAACAGUAGUUUAGAUGUGUUGAGUGAUUUAAAAACUGCAAAUGAAAUGUUUGAGUGUACUUAAACAACUAAACAAACAAUAUUGUGGUCUGAGAAAUUCGGACUCCAGGAUCACGUAGGUUCCCACAGUCAUGGAAAACCUGGAAAUGGCAGGGAAGGUUAAAACUGUGGUUUGCAGGCCUAGAGAAGUCAAGGAAAGGUCUUGGAAAAUCACUGUGAAAAUGCGGGAACUUUGAUUUGUGUCUCGGCAGGUCUGUUAUUAUGAUUUUAAAUAAAAUUCACCCAGAAAUCAUGAACUGCCUCUGAUGACCACUGAAGGAUUUACAUUCUUCUGUGAAAAGAUCAGAAAGACCUGUGAGCUUCUGUUGAUCAUACAACAACAACAACAACAAAAACCUCUGUUUUCUAUGUGAAUUUGUUAAAAUGUAUUUAAUAUUUUCAGGAUUCUUUGAUGAAUAGAAAGUUCUUUUGAAACAUUUUAAAUGUGUUUGUUGUCACUUUGGAUCAAGUUAAUGUGUCAUUGUUAAAUAAAAGAAUUAAUUUGUUGUUGUUGUUAAACAUCUUCAUAACCAAAAUGUGGUUAAUUAAUUUAUAAAUGUGAAUAUCUUAAAUAAUUAUUAUUAAUAUAUGAUAAAUAAUAUAUUAUUAUGCUUAAUAAUAAUAAUAAUCGUACUAACCGCAAAUAUAAUUAUACAUUUACAAAUAUAUAUAUUUAUUCGCAUUAUUUAUUUAAAAAAAAUUUACUGAGCCC
Molecule: long non-coding RNA, 5441 nt
Organism: Carassius auratus (goldfish)
Lineage: Eukaryota; Metazoa; Chordata; Actinopteri; Cypriniformes; Cyprinidae
Source: Ensembl